This is a non-coding RNA of Mycena capillaripes, 85 nucleotides long. The record is from the annotation of a GenBank genome assembly. Lineage: Eukaryota; Fungi; Basidiomycota; Agaricomycetes; Agaricales; Mycenaceae.
GACUCGAUGACGUAGCGGUAACGCAUCCGCUUAUGCUCGACAGUAUCUUCCGUGGAAGUCGCCGGUUCGAAUGCGGCUCGUGCUG